AUACGUAGGGUGCGAGCGUUGUCCGGAAUUACUGGGCGUAAAGAGCUCGUAGGUGGUUUGUCGCGUCGUCUGUGAAAUUCCGGGGCUUAACUCCGGGCGUGCAGGCGAUACGGGCAUAACUUGAGUACUGUAGGGGAGACUGGAAUUCCUGGUGUAGCGGCGAAAUGCGCAGAUAUCAGGAGGAACACCGGUGGCGAAGGCGGGUCUCUGGGCAGUAACUGACGCUGAGGAGCGAAAGCAUGGGUAGCGAACAGGAUUAGAUACCCUGGUAGUCCAUGCUGUAAACGGUGGGCGCUAGGUGUAGGGGUCUUCCACGACUUCUGUGCCGUAGCUAACGCAUUAAGCGCCCCGCCUGGGGAGUACGGCCGCAAGGCUAAAACUCAAAGGAAUUGACGGGG
RNAcentral lists this ribosomal RNA (398 nucleotides) under uncultured bacterium. Its description in RNAcentral is "partial 16S ribosomal RNA". It matches the Rfam family "Bacterial small subunit ribosomal RNA", at positions 523 to 918 of the family's 1533-position model. The record is from RNAcentral.